This is a long non-coding RNA of Vitis vinifera (wine grape), 658 nucleotides long. RefSeq lists it as uncharacterized. The transcript has 2 exons. The record is from RefSeq and is a predicted model, not a curated record. Lineage: Eukaryota; Viridiplantae; Streptophyta; Magnoliopsida; Vitales; Vitaceae.
UAUUUCCAAGGAGAAACUUGAGGCUCUAACAUUAAUUCACAACCACUGUAAUGCGACAGGGAUGGCAGCACAGCUAGAGAAAGAAAACCCCCAGUCCAUCAAUGGAAAGCAUGCUGCAGACACCUAACCUUGGAGCAGGGAUGUUGUUGCUGGUUCAUUUAGCUUCUUCCAAGUUUGAACCUCAUUAUCAUUGAAUGUUUUCUUUGGAAGCAAAGAGAAAAACUUACGGAUGAUGUCGCCAACAUGGAAGGUCUUAGUAGAAGCCCACUUCUUGUAGUCGACAUUGCCGAUGGUGGUCCAACCAGCAGAGUCCCCAACCUUGUAAACAGCUGCAAAGGAGAGUUGCAGAGUAGCUACAACCACCAGCAAAAGCAAAGAGAAGCGUCUCCCCACCAUACCCAUGACUGAAUUCCAACAAAUCUCUAAGGGAGUCCGUGAGGGGAAGCUGAGGAGGCCUUUGUGCGUGGGCGUUUUAUAAAAGGGGUUUUGGAGGUGAAGAGGGGUUAUGGAAGACGGAAGCCUUGAAAGCAAGGGCACUGAUUUUGGUGCCGCUCUAACAACAUGCCAAUGCUGUCAACCACUCAUGAUGGUUUUCUUUUGCAUCCGACAACACUUGUACUUUUAACAUCUUUACACUUUACACCCCUCACUUUCUCAC